GAAAAGUUAGCUAUUGGUAAAGCGAGUUACUUGCUAUGUAAUGAAUUAUUAUUCUUAUGAGUUCGAUUCUCAUACUUUUCG
[Ashbya] aceris (nom. inval.) is the source of this 81-nucleotide non-coding RNA. The record is from the annotation of a GenBank genome assembly. NCBI's taxonomy places the organism in Eukaryota, Fungi, Ascomycota, Saccharomycetes, Saccharomycetales, Saccharomycetaceae.